UAGAGUUUGAUCCUGGCUCAGGACAAACGCUGGCGGCGUGCCUAAUACAUGCAAGUCGAGCGGAGUUGAUGAGGUGCUUGCACCUCUGAUACUUAGCGGCGGACGGGUGAGUAACACGUAGGUAACCUGCCUGUAAGACUGGGAUAACAUUCGGAAACGAAUGCUAAUACCAGAUACGCGAUUUCCUCGCAUGGGGAGAUCGGGAAAGACGGAGCAAUCUGUCACUUACAGAUGGACCUGCGGCGCAUUAGCUAGUUGGUGGGGUAACGGCUCACCAAGGCGACGAUGCGUAGACGACCUGAGAGGGUGAUCGGCCACACUGGGACUGAGACACGGCCCAGACUCCUACGGGAGGCAGCAGUAGGGAAUCUUCCGCAAUGGACGAAAGUCUGACGGAGCAACGCCGCGUGAGUGAUGAAGGCUUUCGGGU
This 430-nucleotide ribosomal RNA is filed under the name uncultured low G+C Gram-positive bacterium. RNAcentral describes it as "bacterial SSU rRNA". It matches the Rfam family "Bacterial small subunit ribosomal RNA", at positions 1 to 423 of the family's 1533-position model. Lineage: Bacteria; Bacillati; Bacillota. The record is from RNAcentral.